RNAcentral lists this transfer RNA (67 nucleotides) under Niviventer cremoriventer (dark-tailed tree rat). Its description in RNAcentral is "tRNA-Phe". It matches the Rfam family "tRNA". From Rfam's summary of the family: Transfer RNA (tRNA) molecules are approximately 80 nucleotides in length. Their secondary structure includes four short double-helical elements and three loops (D, anti-codon, and T loops). Further hydrogen bonds mediate the characteristic L-shaped molecular structure. tRNAs have two regions of fundamental functional importance: the anti-codon, which is responsible for specific mRNA codon recognition, and the 3' end, to which the tRNAs corresponding amino acid is attached (by aminoacyl-tRNA synthetases). tRNAs cope with the degeneracy of the genetic code in two manners: having more than one tRNA (with a specific anti-codon) for a particular amino acid; and 'wobble' base-pairing, i.e. permitting non-standard base-pairing at the 3rd anti-codon position. The record is from RNAcentral. Lineage: Eukaryota; Metazoa; Chordata; Mammalia; Rodentia; Muridae.
GUUAAUGUAGCUUAUAGAAAGCAAAGCACUGAAAAUGCUUAGAUGGAUUAUUUAAAUCCCAUAAACA